UGAGGAAUUUUCGUCAAUGGGGGAAACCCUGAACGAGCAACGCCGCGUGCAGGAUGACGGCCUUCGGGUUGUAAACUGCUUUUCUCUGGGACGAGAACGGACGGUACCAGAGGAAUCAGCUCCGGCUAACUACGUGCCAGCAGCCGCGGUAAUACGUAGGGAGCAAGCGUUGUCCGGAUUUAUUGGGCGUAAAGCGCACGCAGGCGGUUUAGUCAGUCUCUACUGACAGUGUCCGGCUCAACCGGGCAAGUGGUAGGGAAACUGCUAAACUUGAGGGCUUCAGAGGGAUGGGGAACUCCAGGUGGAGUGGUGAAAUGCGUAGAUAUCUGGAAGAACACCAAUGGCGAAGGCACCAUCCUGGGAAGCAUCUGACGCUCAGGUGCGAAAGCUAGGGGAGCGAACGG
Molecule: ribosomal RNA, 404 nt
Filed under: uncultured bacterium
Lineage: Bacteria
Description: bacterial SSU rRNA
Rfam family: Bacterial small subunit ribosomal RNA
Source: RNAcentral